This is a long non-coding RNA of Pelmatolapia mariae (spotted tilapia), 510 nucleotides long. RefSeq lists it as uncharacterized. The transcript has 3 exons. The record is from RefSeq and is a predicted model, not a curated record. NCBI's taxonomy places the organism in Eukaryota, Metazoa, Chordata, Actinopteri, Cichliformes, Cichlidae.
CUACGUUCACACUGCAGGCGAAAGCGCAUCAAAUCCGAUUUUUUUGACCCUAUGCGACCCAUAUCCGAUCAUGGUAUGACAGUGUGAACGGCACAAAUCCGAUAUUUUCAAAUCCGAUCUGGGUCACAACUUCAACCCACCACGACCACCACCUUAAUUUUUUCAUCAACAGCCCUAAAUUUGGAACAGCGUGAUGUAAAUACAAGACGGGCCCUCGUCCUUCGUGCACUUCCUGUGUACCUGGUGAAGAUGCCUCCACGUUAUUCAGGACUUGUGAUUCAGCAGAUGGUCCAGACCUCACUGACACUCCUGUGGCUCUGCUGACAGUUGUCACGGAUGACACUACUGAUUCGGUCCUCUUCAGUCCCGAAAGCAUCUGCAUUGUCAUUGAGGAUGAAAUACUUGUGAAUGGUCCCACAAAUCUGGCAGACUCAUUUCUCCUGCUCUUUGGGUACAUCUAUGCACUAGACCUACAAUACCCAAAGAAACUUGAGCUUACAUUCACAUUUA